Molecule: long non-coding RNA, 733 nt
Organism: Equus quagga
Lineage: Eukaryota; Metazoa; Chordata; Mammalia; Perissodactyla; Equidae
Exons: 2
Source: RefSeq, a predicted model, not a curated record
CGCGCACGCCCCCGGGGCCAGGCCUCCCCCCUGCGAGUCUGUGCUCUUGGUACGGCCCGACCGGCCACGCCCCCUCGCCUGCCGGCUCAGCCGCCGGGCUUGAGAACCCGGCACCGCGUUGCAGAUGGGAGGGGAGCGCCGGCGCUGGCAGCUCCUCCCGUCCCCGACGUGCUUUGCCCGGAGCCGGCUGCCCGCCCUCCCUUGGGGCCCCGCGGGGCGGUGGCUGUGCGCCGCGCCGUCUGGCUUCCUACCGCUCGCGAUCUGCUGCGAAUUCCUUUUGGAACAGUGGGCAACUCACUUCAUUCAGAGCCCGUUCUCCGUCUUUAAAAACGAGACCAACUAACCAACGACCGAAUGCUUUGAAAACUAGUCUUAGAGGAUUCUUACCGGGGGCCUUUUGUUUUUCCCAUUGAAGGAGUAACUGAGUCUGAUGGAUUCCAUCUCCAGCUCCACCCCCACCUCACCUUUCCUGCUGCUCCUGCCCUAGUGCACUCCCACCUGAGCUCACCUUUCACCUGGAUUAUCUCAGCAGUUCCAGACUGUGCAUGCCACCUCCAGUUUCUUCUACACCCUCUGCCGUGGUAACUGGUCAUACAGUGCUCUGCUCUCUGCUCUACCUUCCUGGCCCUUUACCCUCCCUCCUCAAGACACACUCUCAUUAGCCAGCGGGGAAAAAAACUAAGUUGGAUACACACCUCACAUCUGACACUAAUAUAAAUUCCUAAUACAUGAA